CUCGGGAGGCAGCAGUAGGGAAUAUUGGACAAUGGGGGCAACCCUGAUCCAGCCAUGCCGCGUGUGUGAAGAAGGCUUUCGGGUUGUAAAGCACUUUCAGUGAGGAGGAAAACCUUAUGGCUAAUACCCAUGAGGCUUGACGUUACUCACAGAAGAAGCACCGGCUAACUCCGUGCCAGCAGCCGCGGUAAU
Molecule: ribosomal RNA, 192 nt
Filed under: Alteromonadaceae bacterium L22-A09
Lineage: Bacteria; Pseudomonadati; Pseudomonadota; Gammaproteobacteria; Alteromonadales; Alteromonadaceae
Description: partial 16S ribosomal RNA
Rfam family: Bacterial small subunit ribosomal RNA
Source: RNAcentral